GUCUCUUUCAGCUUUUCUUCCGAUUCAUCGUCGUCCUCAGUCAUGAUCACCACAUCGCACCAGAGCGACCACAAAACAAAAAUUCCAAUCCUAUCCCCAUGUUUCAAUCGCAUUCAUCAUCCCCAAUCCACUGAACCCUAUUCAAAGCAGCCAUUGACGAUCGCUCACCAACAUCACCAUCCUCAUCUCUCAAUUCUGAUGCUGUCGAUGUUGCUGUGAACAAUCAGAAGAAGAAGAAGAAACAACAACGAUGACUUCUUCUUCUUCUUCGGGCACGAUCAACAUCGCUGCAAGUGCUCAGAAACUCGAUGUCGAUAACCGAAUCGCUCUCUGUUUCUACUUCCGGAUCGCCGAUAACAUCCUCCGUCAAGCUCUAUCACCACAUCGCAUCAGAGCAACCAUCGCUCCAUCUCCAUCGCAGCCACACUCCACCGCAAGCAGCUGUGCUUCCAGAUCCAGCAAAUUCUCCUUGUUCACGAUACUCACCGGAGAAGAAACCCUAGAUCCGCGAUGCUACAUGUCCGACACCUCCAUAAUUCCACUCCGGCUACCACCAGGUGGCGCAACAAGCUCGAGAGGUCGCGUUUCUUGCCUUUCUUCUUCUGAUUCGAUCUUGUUUCUUACCCGCAGGUACACUGAAUUGGAAAUUGCGGUGUCGGAGAUAGGAAUUGUAGGGCUGAACGCGGAGAAUUUAGGGAUUGGAGGUGUUUGGGUUGACAGUGAUCCUAUACUACCCGCAUCAACCUCAGUAGUUGGAGGAUGGAUGAAGCAGGUUGAUAAGGGAUAUUGAAAGUGACUCAGUCUUGAGGCUCAAUCACUAGAGGACAAUGCCAAUGCUAAUGAUGAACCGGUUGAAACUGCUGAUCAUGCAAAGGGAUUUCACUAAUGUUAGUGAGGGUCAAUUGAUGACAAUAUAGAUACAAUGAGGCAUAUAUGUAGUUUGUGGCAUUUAAAAAUAUGCCAGUUUCAAUUUGUGGCAUUUAGAAGAUGCCAGAAGCAUUUGUGGCAUACAAAAACCGGCAUUUAAGCAAAAAAUGCCACAAAACAGUUGUGGCACCUGUAAUAGAGGCACUUAAAGGUGAAUGCCACUAAUCACACUUGGGGCAUUUAAUAAAUGCCACAACUUAACAAUAUCAAUGCCACUAAAAAUACAUUUUUUUGUAGUGAAA
Long non-coding RNA from Lotus japonicus, 1169 nucleotides. RefSeq lists it as uncharacterized. The transcript is spliced from 4 exons. The record is from RefSeq and is a predicted model, not a curated record. NCBI's taxonomy places the organism in Eukaryota, Viridiplantae, Streptophyta, Magnoliopsida, Fabales, Fabaceae.